Small nuclear RNA from Macadamia integrifolia, 196 nucleotides. RefSeq annotates it as U2 spliceosomal RNA. NCBI's taxonomy places the organism in Eukaryota, Viridiplantae, Streptophyta, Magnoliopsida, Proteales, Proteaceae. The transcript has a single exon. The record is from RefSeq and is a predicted model, not a curated record.
AUACCUUUCUCGGCCUUUUGGCUAAGAUCAAGUGUAGUAUCUGUUCUUAUCAGUUUAAUAUCUGAUACGUGGAUCAUUGAUCCACAUGAUAUUAAAUUAAUUUUUCUCAGGGGAAGGCCCACUACGGUAGCUUGCUACUGGGGUCUUCGAGCGUUGCCUUUGCUUUGCACUACUGCAAGGGCCUGGCACAUCCCCC